UACAGAGGGUGCAAACGUUGUUCGGAAUUACUGGGCGUAAAGCGCGUGUAGGCGGCUUUGCAAGUCGGGUGUGAAAGCCCUCAGCUCAACUGAGGAAGUGCGCCCGAAACUGCAGAGCUUGAGUACCGGAGAGGAUGGUGGAAUUCCCCAAGUAGAGGUGAAAUUCGUAGAUAUGGGGAGGAACACCGGUGGCGAAGGCGACCAUCUGGACGGAUACUGACGCUGAGACGCGAAAGCGUGGGUAGCAAACAGG
RNAcentral lists this ribosomal RNA (253 nucleotides) under uncultured bacterium. Its description in RNAcentral is "partial 16S ribosomal RNA". It matches the Rfam family "Bacterial small subunit ribosomal RNA", at positions 524 to 776 of the family's 1533-position model. The record is from RNAcentral.